Molecule: ribosomal RNA, 2616 nt
Filed under: Triticum aestivum (bread wheat)
Lineage: Eukaryota; Viridiplantae; Streptophyta; Magnoliopsida; Poales; Poaceae
Description: partial small subunit ribosomal RNA
Source: RNAcentral
AUGCCUGGGCACUUGCUGUUGGUUCAGAACCGUGUUAGGCUAAUGGCUUCCAUCCACUGGGCACUACUACUCUUUCUUGUACAACUCCCCAUACUGGCCACCUCCAGCGCCCACAGUGAUGGUAACCUCACACUGUGGUGCCAUCCAGACCAGGCUGCAGCGCUUCUCCAACUAAAGCAAUCCUUCUUUGCUGCAGCAACCACCGCGGCUCUCCUUCCGUCAUGGCAAAAUGGCACCAAUUGCUGUCUCUGGGAGGGCAUUAUCUGUGAUGCUUCUUCUGGUCUUGUGACAGUACUAGACCUCAGUGGGCAUGGCCUGAACAGUUAUGGCUUGGACCCUGCGCUCUUCAGCCUCAAAUCCCUCCGACGUCUCGAUCUUAGCAUGAAUUCUUUAGGUGAUUACAGCUACAACAUCACCACUGCUGAGUUUGAGAGGCUCGCUCUGCUAACCCAUCUCAAUCUCUCCAAUGCGGACUUGUAUGGGCAGAUACCUAUUGGCAUCAGCAAACUCGUUAACCUUGUCUCCUUGGAUCUUUCAAGUCACACAGUUUCCGAUUAUGAUGAUCCUACCUCUGCAGCUGACAGUUUUAAUGAUCUGCAGUGGGAGCCCAAUUUUGAGAUCCUGGUAGCGAACCUUAACAAUAUAAGAGAGCUCUACCUUGAUGGAGUGCAGAUAAUGUCUAGCAGCGGUGAAGAUUGGGGCAAAGCUCUUGCAAAAUAUGUUCCUCAUCUUCAGGUACUUAGCUUGCAGGGAUGCAGGCUGAAUGGUCCUAUUCAUCAUUCCCUCUCAAGCCUCCAUUCUCUUGUUGCGAUCAACCUUGGAUCCAAUGAUAUUGGUCCGAUUCCAGAGUUCUUCGCAGAUUUUCCCAAUCUAAGUGAGCUUCAACUUUCGUAUAUGAAUCUUCAGGGGUGGUUCCCUGAAAGAUUUUUUCAACUCAAAAAUUUAAGGGUCCUAGAUUUGUCCUCAAACCCGAAUCUCUCGGGGCAUUUGCCAAACUUUCCCCAUGCAAGUUUUCUACAUACUUUGAGGCUAGAGGGGACUAACUUCUCCUAUUCUAAACCAAGUUCUUCUGGUGAUUUCAAGCUGUUGAGGGAGUUAACUCUUGACGGGAAAUUUCUAUCGAUGGAUUUUCUCUCUUCAUUCGGUGUACUUGGGUCUUUAUGCCGGUUGACAGUUGAUUUGAUGGACUCACAAAAUGGUUUGGGACCGAUUUUGUCAUGGAUGGGAGGCCUCAGGAACUUGAUGAGCUUGGAACUCUAUAGCUGCGACUUCUCUUGGAUAAUGCCUUCCUCCAUUAGGAACCUGAAGGCGUUGAGAAGCUUGAAGAUGUCCGAUUGCAACCUCCCUAGGCCCAUACUGUCUGAAAUUGGCAAUCUCAUUAAUUUGCAAAACUUGGAAAUAUCUGGUAUGUCCGACUGCAAAUUGCAUGGUUCAGUUACAUCCUCAAUAGGCAACCUCACAAAUUUAAGAAGGUUGUACAUGAAGAAUUGUGAUUAUUGUGGAGCAAUUCCAGCUGCAAUUGGCUAUCUUGGAAACUUAAGAAGAUUGGCGAUCUACAGUUGUGACUUUACUGGGGCAUUACCAUCUGCAGUUGGCAACCUCACUAAUUUGAAAAGCAUGGUUAUUGAAAGUAGUCAGCUUUCUGGGCCAAUACCUUAUGCAGUUGGGCAACUCAAGGAAUUGACACGUCUAACUAUUUUAGGGGGGAGCAUUUCUGGGAGGAUACCAAGUUCACUUCUCAAUUUAACUCGACUGGCAGAACUGGAUCUCUAUUAUAAUCAUGUGAGCGGUCAUAUUCCGACACCUCUUUUCUCUCUUCCAAAAUUACGCUACUUGAAUCUUGGUUGGAACCAAUUUUCUGGUCCUAUAGAAGAGUUUGACGCGGCAUCUUCAUGCUUACAGUUAGUAAUUUUGAGCGGAAAUGAACUGGCUGGGCAGUUUCCCAACUCGUUCUUUCAACUUACAGAUUUGGUUUGUCUAGAAAUCAAUGAGAACAACUUUGUAGGUUCACUGGAUCUUUCAUCUUUCUGGAGGUUAAGAAAGCUCUCUUCUUUGGAUCUUUCACACAAUAAGCUCUCUGUUACGAAUGAAGAAGGAACCACCUCUUUUUCCACCUAUCUCCCUGGACUUAAAACCUUAGGAGUUGCCUGUUGCAAUAUAACCAAAAUUCCUAGAAUUUUGACACGUCUUCAUGACAUGUCUUACCUGGACCUUUCUUGCAACAAAAUCACAGGGGAUAUACCGAAGUUGAUAUGGGAGAGGUGGAGCAGUAGCCUUUUACAUUUAUAUCUUUCACACAACAUGUUCAUUGGUAUGGAACUUACUUCACAUGUUCUUCCUUUCAGUUGUCCCUUGGAAGUUCUUGAUCUUAGUUCCAAUAGGCUUCAGGGACAUAUUCCUAUGCCAAACUCAUCAGCAAAUUAUUUGGAUUAUUCACAUAAUUAUUUUUCUUCUCUCCUUCCAAACUUCACUCUGUGUCUCAGUGAAACCAUGUAUCUCAGGAUGUCCAACAAUAGUAUAAAUGGGCAUUUACCAAAUUCAGUUUGCAAUUCCAGCAUGUUGGGUGUCCUUGACCUAUCAUAUAACACUUCAGUGGGCCGAUUCCAUCCUGUCUGA